CCAAGCCAACCCACCAACAAAGACUUUGGUGUAGGUGGUGUCUCCGAACUGGCCUGCUAAGUUAGCUGGAGUCAUCUUUCUCUUCCAAUACCUCUCUCUCCCUGGAUUAGAGUUUCUUUUCUCUCUCUGUCUCUUUCUCUCUGUGGAUGUAUGGUGAGGGUUUCUCUUUGUCCAACCUUGGAAGUUAGCUAGCAAAACUUGGUGGGUGGGUGUGUGUUUUGUUUGGUUAAAUGGCGAAGGGGAAUUGGAGUGGAUCUAAGUUAAGGAAGAUGGAAGAGGAAGAGAGGAAGGGUGGGGGGAUUUGGAGGGUUUUAUCCAAUUUUUUGGAGGCGAAUUUGGUGGAGAUGGAAAGAGAAUUAGGUCAGAGAUCUAGAGUAUAGAGAGAGAGAGACAGAGAGAAAGAGAGGGAGAGGGAGAGAGGGAAGGAGGAGGGGGAGGGAGAGAGAAGGGAGGAGAGAAUUAGAAAAGAAAAGAGGGAGAGGGGGAGGGGGGGAGAAAGC
This 500-nucleotide long non-coding RNA is filed under the name Vitis vinifera (wine grape). Its description in RNAcentral is "long non-coding RNA (VVIN_LNC006349)". The record is from RNAcentral. Lineage: Eukaryota; Viridiplantae; Streptophyta; Magnoliopsida; Vitales; Vitaceae.